This 498-nucleotide ribosomal RNA is filed under the name uncultured bacterium. RNAcentral describes it as "partial 16S ribosomal RNA". It matches the Rfam family "Bacterial small subunit ribosomal RNA", at positions 28 to 523 of the family's 1533-position model. The record is from RNAcentral.
GACGAACGCUGGCGGCGUGCUUAACACAUGCAAGUCGAACGGAUUGCUUGGUGCUUGCACUGAGUGGUUAGUGGCGAACGGGUGAGUAACACGUGAGUAACCUGCCCCCUUCUUUGGGAUAAGCACCUGAAAGGGUGUCUAAUACUGAUUAUUCUGCUGGAAUCGCAUGGUUUUGGUUGGAAAGGUUUUUCUGGUGGGGGAUGGGCUCGCGGCUUAUCAGCUUGUUGGUGGGGUAAUGGCUUACCAAGGCUUUGACGGGUAACCGGCCUGAGAGGGUGACCGGUCACAUUGGGACUGAGAUACGGCCCAGACUCCUACGGGAGGCAGCAGUGGGGAAUAUUGCACAAUGGACGAGAGUCUGAUGCAGCGACGCCGCGUGAGGGAUGAAGGCCUUCGGGUUGUAAACCUUUUUCGCUUUUGACCAAGGCAGCAUUUUGGUGUUGUUGAGGGUAUGAGGUAAAGAAGCUCCGGCUAACUACGUGCCAGCCGCCGCCGUAA